Molecule: long non-coding RNA, 243 nt
Filed under: Lathyrus oleraceus (garden pea)
Lineage: Eukaryota; Viridiplantae; Streptophyta; Magnoliopsida; Fabales; Fabaceae
Description: Pisum sativum (pea) long non-coding RNA (PSAT_LNC004653)
Source: RNAcentral
CUUAAAUUAUACUAAAUAUCAAAAUUUUAGCUAACAAAUUUUUCAAUUAACUUGUAUAUCGAAUUGGCUAGUGCAACAGACGAAUAAUAUAACAUUAACAUCUAAUAAAAAAUAACCAUAAAUUUCUAUACAUAAAAUGUUUGCCAGCUGCAAAAUGAUUGACUUAAGUGCACGCCUGCAUUGAUAGCUAAUAAAGAUCAGUCGACAUUCAUGAUAAAAGUUCAUUAACAAAAUGAAACAACU